UUAAGCGACUAAGCGUACACGGUGGAUGCCCUGGCAGUCAGAGGCGAUGAAGGACGUGCUAAUCUGCGAAAAGCGUCGGUAAGGUGAUAUGAACCGUUAUAACCGGCGAUGUCCGAAUGGGGAAACCCAGUGCAAUUCGUUGCACUAUCGUUAACUGAAUACAUAGGUUAACGAGGCGAACCGGGGGAACUGAAACAUCUAAGUACCCCGAGGAAAAGAAAUCAACCGAGAUUCCCCCAGUAGCGGCGAGCGAACGGGGAGCAGCCCAGAGUCUGAAUCAGCUUGUGUGUUAGUGGAACGGUCUGGAAAGUCCGACGGUACAGGGUGAUAGUCCCGUACACCAAAAUGCACAGGCUGUGAACUCGAAGAGUAGGGCGGGACACGUGGUAUCCUGUCUGAAUAUGGGGGGACCAUCCUCCAAGGCUAAAUACUCCUGACUGACCGAUAGUGAACCAGUACCGUGAGGGAAAGGCGAAAAGAACCCCGGCGAGGGGAGUGAAAAAGAACCUGAAACCGUGUACGUACAAGCAGUGGGAGCACCUUCGGGUGUGACUGCGUACCUUUUGUAUAAUGGGUCAGCGACUUAUAUUCUGUAGCAAGGUUAACCGUAUAGGGGAGCCGCAGGGAAACCGAGUCUUAACUGGGCGUUAAGUUGCAGGGUAUAGACCCGAAACCCGGUGAUCUAGCCAUGGGCAGGUUGAAGGUUGGGUAACACUAACUGGAGGACCGAACCGACUAAUGUUGAAAAAUUAGCGGAUGACUUGUGGCUGGGGGUGAAAGGCCAAUCAAACCGGGAGAUAGCUGGUUCUCCCCGAAAGCUAUUUAGGUAGCGCCUCGUGAACUCAUCUUCGGGGGUAGAGCACUGUUUCGGCUAGGGGGUCAUCCCGACUUACCAACCCGAUGCAAACUACGAAUACCGAAGAAUGUUAUCACGGGAGACACACGGCGGGUGCUAACGUCCGUCGUGAAGAGGGAAACAACCCAGACCGCCAGCUAAGGUCCCAAAGUCAUGGUUAAGUGGGAAACGAUGUGGGAAGGCACAGACAGCCAGGAUGUUGGCUUAGAAGCAGCCAUCAUUUAAAGAAAGCGUAAUAGCUCACUGGUCGAGUCGGCCUGCGCGGAAGAUGUAACGGGGCUAAACCAUGCACCGAAGCUGCGGCAGCGACACUAUGUGUUGUUGGGUAGGGGAGCGUUCUGUAAGCCUGCGAAGGUGUGCUGUGAGGCAUGCUGGAGGUAUCAGAAGUGCGAAUGCUGACAUAAGUAACGAUAAAGCGGGUGAAAAGCCCGCUCGCCGGAAGACCAAGGGUUCCUGUCCAACGUUAAUCGGGGCAGGGUGAGUCGACCCCUAAGGCGAGGCCGAAAGGCGUAGUCGAUGGGAAACAGGUUAAUAUUCCUGUACUUGGUGUUACUGCGAAGGGGGGACGGAGAAGGCUAUGUUAGCCGGGCGACGGUUGUCCCGGUUUAAGCAUGUAGGCUGGUUGUCCAGGCAAAUCCGGAUAAUCAAGGCUGAGGUGUGAUGACGAGGCACUACGGUGCUGAAGUAACAAAUGCCCUGCUUCCAGGAAAAGCCUCUAAGCAUCAGGUAACAUCAAAUCGUACCCCAAACCGACACAGGUGGUCAGGUAGAGAAUACCAAGGCGCUUGAGAGAACUCGGGUGAAGGAACUAGGCAAAAUGGUGCCGUAACUUCGGGAGAAGGCACGCUGGUGUGUAGGUGAAGCCCCUGCGGGUGGAGCUGAGACCAGUCGAAGAUACCAGCUGGCUGCAACUGUUUAUUAAAAACACAGCACUGUGCAAACACGAAAGUGGACGUAUACGGUGUGACGCCUGCCCGGUGCCGGAAGGUUAAUUGAUGGGGUUAUCCGUAAGGAGAAGCUCUUGAUCGAAGCCCCGGUAAACGGCGGCCGUAACUAUAACGGUCCUAAGGUAGCGAAAUUCCUUGUCGGGUAAGUUCCGACCUGCACGAAUGGCGUAAUGAUGGCCAGGCUGUCUCCACCCGAGACUCAGUGAAAUUGAACUCGCUGUGAAGAUGCAGUGUACCCGCGGCAAGACGGAAAGACCCCGUGAACCUUUACUAUAGCUUGACACUGAACAUUGAGCCUUGAUGUGUAGGAUAGGUGGGAGGCUUUGAAGCGUGGACGCCAGUCUGCGUGGAGCCAACCUUGAAAUACCACCCUUUAAUGUUUGAUGUUCUAACGUUGGCCCCUGACCGGGGUUGCGGACAGUGUCUGGUGGGUAGUUUGACUGGGGCGGUCUCCUCCCAAAGCGUAACGGAGGAGCACGAAGGUUAGCUAAUCCUGGUCGGACAUCAGGAGGUUAGUGCAAUGGCAUAAGCUAGCUUGACUGCGAGCGUGACGGCGCGAGCAGGUGCGAAAGCAGGUCAUAGUGAUCCGGUGGUUCUGAAUGGAAGGGCCAUCGCUCAACGGAUAAAAGGUACUCCGGGGAUAACAGGCUGAUACCGCCCAAGAGUUCAUAUCGACGGCGGUGUUUGGCACCUCGAUGUCGGCUCAUCACAUCCUGGGGCUGAAGUAGGUCCCAAGGGUAUGGCUGUUCGCCAUUUAAAGUGGUACGCGAGCUGGGUUUAGAACGUCGUGAGACAGUUCGGUCCCUAUCUGCCGUGGGCGCUGGAGAAUUGAGGGGGGCUGCUCCUAGUACGAGAGGACCGGAGUGGACGCAUCACUGGUGUUCGGGUUGUCAUGCCAAUGGCACUGCCCGGUAGCUAAAUGCGGAAGAGAUAAGUGCUGAAAGCAUCUAAGCACGAAACUUGCCCCGAGAUGAGUUCUCCCUGAGACUUUAAGUCUCCUGAAGGAACGUUGAAGACGACGACGUUGAUAGGCCGGGUGUGUAAGCGCAGCGAUGCGUUGAGCUAACCGGUACUAAUGAACCGUGAGGCUUAACCU
Molecule: ribosomal RNA, 2899 nt
Filed under: Klebsiella pneumoniae
Lineage: Bacteria; Pseudomonadati; Pseudomonadota; Gammaproteobacteria; Enterobacterales; Enterobacteriaceae
Description: 23S ribosomal RNA
Rfam family: Bacterial large subunit ribosomal RNA
Source: RNAcentral